This 433-nucleotide ribosomal RNA is filed under the name uncultured bacterium. Its description in RNAcentral is "partial 16S ribosomal RNA". It matches the Rfam family "Bacterial small subunit ribosomal RNA", at positions 29 to 507 of the family's 1533-position model. The record is from RNAcentral.
AACGAACGCUGGCGGCAUGCCUAACACAUGCAAGUCGAACGAGACCUUCGGGUCUAGUGGCGCACGGGUGCGUAACGCGUGGGAACCUGCCCUUAGGUUCGGAAUAACUCCCCGAAAGGGGUGCUAAUACCGGAUAAUGUCUUCGGACCAAAGACUUAUCGCCUUUGGAUGGGCCCGCGUUGGAUUAGCUAGUUGGUAGGGUAAAAGCCUACCAAGGCGACGAUCCAUAGCUGGUCUGAGAGGAUGAUCAGCCACACUGGGACUGAGACACGGCCCAGACUCCUACGAGAGGCAGCAGUGGGGAAUAUUGGACAAGGGGCGAAAGCCUGAUCCAGCAAUGCCGCGUGAGUGAUGAAGGCCUUAGGGUUGUAAAGCUCUUUUACCCGGGAUGAUAAUGACAGUACCGGGAGAAUAAGCUCCGGCUAACUCCGUG